AUUAUUUCAGAAUCAUCUUCAGAGAUACGAAAAACUAGUUUUUCGUAUCUCUGAGGAUGAUUCUGAAAUAGAAU
Molecule: microRNA precursor, 74 nt
Filed under: Paramuricea clavata
Lineage: Eukaryota; Metazoa; Cnidaria; Anthozoa; Malacalcyonacea; Plexauridae
Source: RNAcentral